CAGGACGAACGCUGGCGGCGUGCCUAAUACAUGCAAGUCGAACGGUCUUUCUAUGGAAGCUUGCUUCCACUGAGAAGAUAGUGGCGAACGGGUGAGUAACACGUGGGUAACCUGCCCAUAAGAGGGGGGAUAACAUCCGGAAACGGGUGCUAAUACCGCAUAGUUUUCUUGAUCGCAUGAUUGAGAAAGGAAAGACGGCCUUUGUGCUGUCGCUUAUGGAUGGACCCGCGGCGUAUUAGUUAGUUGGUGAGGUAACGGCUUACCAAGACGAUGAUACGUAGCCGACCUGAGAGGGUGAUCGGCCACAUUGGGACUGAGACACGGCCCAAACUCCUACGGGAGGCAGCAGUAGGGAAUCUUCCGCAAUGGACGAAAGUCUGACGGAGCAACGCCGCGUGAGUGAAGAAGGUUUUUCCGGAUCGUAAAACUCUGUUGUCAGAGAAGAACAAGUUGGAGAGUAACUGCUCCAGCCUUGACGGUAUCUGACCAGAAAGCCACGGCUAACUACGUGCCAGCCGCAGC
Molecule: ribosomal RNA, 522 nt
Filed under: uncultured bacterium
Lineage: Bacteria
Description: bacterial SSU rRNA
Rfam family: Bacterial small subunit ribosomal RNA
Source: RNAcentral